ACUAAAUCCACCUGCACAAGUGAAGCUCCAUAAGAACACAUUAGGGUUCUUUAUCGCUGAAUCUGCAAAGGAUGUCAAAAGAGCCUUCUUUUACUGUGCCAUCUGUCACAGUGAUGUGAAUACUCCAGAGCUAAUUGGAAAGUGUGGCUGCAAAAGCAAGAAUCAUCGGCACAUGGCAGGGCCAGCGGUCACGGUGACAGCAAACAACCUGAAGGAAUAUCCUGGCCCAACGAGACGGGACUCCAAUCCAGAGCCACAGCCAAACAUGUUGAGCAACUUGAGCCUUGCCACCAGGUAAGAGCCUCAGAGGACCCCGGUCCCCUGCGGUUU
Molecule: long non-coding RNA, 330 nt
Organism: Camelus dromedarius (Arabian camel)
Lineage: Eukaryota; Metazoa; Chordata; Mammalia; Artiodactyla; Camelidae
Exons: 3
Source: RefSeq, a predicted model, not a curated record